RNAcentral lists this ribosomal RNA (629 nucleotides) under Josephinella hemonica. RNAcentral describes it as "partial 12S small subunit ribosomal RNA". Lineage: Eukaryota; Metazoa; Mollusca; Gastropoda; Stylommatophora; Helicidae. The record is from RNAcentral.
CCAAAAAUGGUUCGCCUUUAAAGACCAUUUAUUGUGGUGUAACCUUUUUGAUGUAUCUUAUUAUAGAACUUUAAGGACUCACUAACUAAAAAUAUUUGUUUGACAAGAAAUUGUGCACAUGGUAACAUCAUACCACGGUAAAUAAAGUGCCAGCAACCGCGGUCAUACUUUGGUGAAAAUAAAGGUGUCUAGGAAACCUAAGCAUUUAUUAAACCACAAUAGUGAAAUAUUGACCUAAUUUGCCUAUUAUGCUCAUCAAUUAAGGCUGAUCACAAACAGGGAUUAGAGACCCCUCUAUGCAGCAUAAAGUCAAUCCUGGGGAUUAAUGCUAACCAGCCUAAACCCAACCAAUAUGGCGGUGGUUAGGAAUAUUAGGGGAACUUAUGGGAUAAUUGAUAACCACCAAGGAAAUGCCCGGAACCAAAGAUUUUGUAUACCGUCGUCGUCGAUACUCUAUGAUAGACUAUCAAAAUGUACACACAUUAAGACAGAUCAAGGUGCAGACAAUUGUUCCGUCUUCACGAGUUACUUUAUUAGCUAAAUUCUAUCAACAGAUGUAACGCUGCUAAAUGUAGGACUUAAAAGUAAUACUAAAAAACAUUAAACUAUGAAUAAAAACCUAACCGUGC